This 446-nucleotide ribosomal RNA is filed under the name uncultured bacterium. Its description in RNAcentral is "partial 16S ribosomal RNA". It matches the Rfam family "Bacterial small subunit ribosomal RNA", at positions 331 to 792 of the family's 1533-position model. The record is from RNAcentral.
CCAGACUCCUACGGGAGGCAGCAGUGGGGAAUAUUGGGCAAUGGGCGCAAGCCUGACCCAGCAACGCCGCGUGAAGGAAGAAGGCUUUCGGGUUGUAAACUUCUUUUGACAGGGAAGAGCAGAAGACGGUACCUGUCGAAUAAGCACCGGCUAACUACGUGCCAGCAGCCGCGGUAAUACGUAGGUGGCAAGCGUUGUCCGGAUUUACUGGGUGUAAAGGGCGUGCAGCCGGGAAGACAAGUCAGAUGUGAAAGCCCGCGGCUCAACCGCGGAACUGCAUUUGAAACUGUUGGUCUUGAGUAUCGGAGAGGCAGGCGGAAUUCCUAGUGUAGCGGUGAAAUGCGUAGAUAUUAGGAGGAACACCAGUGGCGAAGGCGGCCUGCUGGACUGCGACUGACGUUGAGGCCCGAAAGCGUGGGGAGCAAACAGGAUUAGAUACCCGUGUA